This 347-nucleotide ribosomal RNA is filed under the name Pseudo-nitzschia cf. calliantha. RNAcentral describes it as "LSU rRNA". It matches the Rfam family "Eukaryotic large subunit ribosomal RNA", at positions 185 to 508 of the family's 3401-position model. Lineage: Eukaryota; Bacillariophyta; Bacillariophyceae; Bacillariales; Bacillariaceae. The record is from RNAcentral.
GUUCCUUGGAAAAGGACAGCUGAGAGGGUGAGACUCCCGUCCGCCUGGUAGAGUGAGCCUUUGUCAAAGAGUCGAGUUGUUUGGGAUUGCAGCUCUAAUUUGGUGGUAAAUUCCAUCUAAAGCUAAAUAUUGGUGGGAGACCGAUAGCGUACAAGUACCGUGAGGGAAAGAUGCAAAGAACUUUGAAAAGAGAGUUAAAGAGUACCUGAAAUUGCUGAAACGGAAGCGAAGGAAACCAGUGUUUGUUUGUUCAUAUUUCCCUGACCACUUGUGGUUUGGGCGCUGUGGGCUUGCGUCGGUUUGCUUUGGCUAAUCCCUUUGGAAGAGCGCAGUCAGAGUUGAUGUCU